AGAGUUUGAUCCUGGCUCAGGACGAACGCUGGCGGCGUGCUUAACACAUGCAAGUCGAACGGUAAGGCCCUUCGAGGUACACGAGUGGCGAACGGGUGAGUAACACGUGGGUAAUCUGCCCUGCACAUCGGGAUAAGCCUGGGAAACUGGGUCUAAUACCGAAUAGGACCACAGAACACAUGUCCUGUGGUGGAAAGCUUUUGCGGUGUGGGAUGGGCCCGCGGCCUAUCAGCUUGUUGGUGGGGUGAUGGCCUACCAAGGCGACGACGGGUAGCCGGCCUGAGAGGGUGUCCGGCCACACUGGGACUGAGAUGCGG
This 317-nucleotide ribosomal RNA is filed under the name uncultured Mycobacterium sp. Its description in RNAcentral is "bacterial SSU rRNA". It matches the Rfam family "Bacterial small subunit ribosomal RNA", at positions 8 to 329 of the family's 1533-position model. The record is from RNAcentral. Lineage: Bacteria; Bacillati; Actinomycetota; Actinomycetes; Mycobacteriales; Mycobacteriaceae.